RNAcentral lists this ribosomal RNA (253 nucleotides) under uncultured bacterium. RNAcentral's name for it is "partial 16S ribosomal RNA". It matches the Rfam family "Bacterial small subunit ribosomal RNA", at positions 524 to 776 of the family's 1533-position model. The record is from RNAcentral.
UACGUAGGGUGCAAGCGUUGUCCGGAAUUAUUGGGCGUAAAGAGCUCGUAGGCGGUCUGUCGCGUCUGCUGUGGAAUUUCGGGGCUCAACCCCGAACUUGCAGUGGGUACGGGCAGACUAGAGUGUGGUAGGGGAGACUGGAAUUCCUGGUGUAGCGGUGAAAUGCGCAGAUAUCAGGAGGAACACCGAUGGCGAAGGCAGGUCUCUGGGCCAUAACUGACGCUGAGAAGCGAAAGCAUGGGGAGCGAACAGG